CAAGCUCUCUGAGCGGCGACGCUAGCCACGAUUGGCUUCGUGGAUGCACAGAAAUACUCAAGGCGCUUGACGUCUGUGGCUCAUCUGUAUUGUUUUUCCCGGUACCACGGCAUGAAGGAGCUGGCCUCCCUCCCUUCCAUCAGCUGCGAGAUACUACAAGCACUGGGCUACAGCUGCAGCUAGCCCAUGGGUACCGUUCUGCGUCCUGUACUGCAUCUAGUUCGAAAGGCCAUGUGAAAGGCAGGUACCGGGGACCAUGACAUCAGUGAGCUGGCUUUCACCUUGUCCAAGGCAGCAGCGGAACACUACGGGCGGGACCCUGGAUCACUGCACCAUGGAUGCCGUCCUGUACCCUGCACGGCACUGCGUGUGGCUUAAGUGGCCAAGCAGAGGGUCAUUGCAUGACUUUUAUGAGGCGCCGCUAGCCAUUGUUUCAAACCACCCUGAAUCGUGGAUCAAGCCUUGCAAGAUGGAAGUUCUCUUUAGGCCCAGCGCCUCUUGAUGGAUCAAGUCUUGUACCCCAUUCCCUCGUGUCUUUCAUAUAAGUAAAUUGUUGGUAUUUC
This is a long non-coding RNA of Ixodes scapularis (black-legged tick), 563 nucleotides long. RefSeq lists it as uncharacterized. The record is from RefSeq and is a predicted model, not a curated record. The transcript is spliced from 4 exons. Lineage: Eukaryota; Metazoa; Arthropoda; Arachnida; Ixodida; Ixodidae.